This 29-nucleotide non-coding RNA is filed under the name Homo sapiens (human). Lineage: Eukaryota; Metazoa; Chordata; Mammalia; Primates; Hominidae. The record is from RNAcentral.
UGCUGCCAUGCGUUCUCCACAUUGCUGUC